This 327-nucleotide ribosomal RNA is filed under the name uncultured eukaryote. Its description in RNAcentral is "partial 18S ribosomal RNA". It matches the Rfam family "Eukaryotic small subunit ribosomal RNA", at positions 1470 to 1796 of the family's 1831-position model. The record is from RNAcentral.
CCCUUAGAUGUUCUGGGCCGCACACGCGCUACACUGAAGGAGGCAGCGUGUACUCCUGGAUCGAAAGAUUUGGGUAACCCGCGAAUCUCCUUCGUGCUAGGGAUUGAGGUUUGCAAUUAUCCUUCAUGAACGAGGAAUUCCCGGUAAGUGCAAGUCAUAAGCUUGCGCUGACUACGUCCCUGCCCUUUGUACACACCGCCCGUCGCUACUACCGAUUGAAUGAUUUAGUGAGGACUUCGGACUGGGACCGAUGCGGCUUUCGGGCUGCGUCGGUAUUCUGGAAAGAUGUCCAAACUGUAUCAUUUAGAGGAAGUAAAANUCGUAACA